Molecule: ribosomal RNA, 253 nt
Filed under: uncultured bacterium
Lineage: Bacteria
Description: partial 16S ribosomal RNA
Rfam family: Bacterial small subunit ribosomal RNA
Source: RNAcentral
UACGUAGGGGGCUAGCGUUGUCCGGAAUCAUUGGGCGUAAAGCGCGCGUAGGCGGCCAGAUAAGUCCGGUGUGAAAGUCAAAGGCUCAACCUUUGAAUGCCGCUGGAAACUGUCUGGCUUGAGUCCGGAAGGGGCGAGUGGAAUUCCUGGUGUAGCGGUGAAAUGCGCAGAUAUCAGGAGGAACACCGGUGGCGAAGGCGGGAUCCUGGGCCAGUACUGACGCUGAGGAGCGAAAGCGUGGGGAGCAAACAGG